UGGGGAAUUUUGGACAAUGGGGGCAACCCUGAUCCAGCCAUGCCGCGUGUGUGAAGAAGGCCUUCGGGUUGUAAAGCACUUUCGGACGGAACGAAAUCGCGCGGGUGAAUACCCCGCGUGGAUGACGGUACCGUAAGAAGAAGCACCGGCUAACUACGUGCCAGCAGCCGCGGUAAUACGUAGGGUGCGAGCGUUAAUCGGAAUUACUGGGCGUAAAGUGUGCGCAGGUGGCUUCGCAAGUCGAGUGUGAAAUCCCCGGGCUUAACCUGGGAAUUGCGCUCGAAACUACGGAGCUCGAGUGUGGCAGAGGGAGGUGGAAUUCCACGUGUAGCGGUGAAAUGCGUAGAGAUGUGGAGGAACACCAAUGGCGAAGGCAGCCUCCUGGGUCAACACUGACACUCAUGCACGAAAGCGUGGGGAGCAAACAGGAUUAGAUACCCCGGUAGUCC
This 449-nucleotide ribosomal RNA is filed under the name uncultured bacterium. RNAcentral describes it as "bacterial SSU rRNA". It matches the Rfam family "Bacterial small subunit ribosomal RNA", at positions 355 to 796 of the family's 1533-position model. The record is from RNAcentral.